This 416-nucleotide ribosomal RNA is filed under the name Globigerinoides ruber albus. RNAcentral describes it as "partial small subunit ribosomal RNA". It matches the Rfam family "Eukaryotic small subunit ribosomal RNA", at positions 1438 to 1685 of the family's 1831-position model. The record is from RNAcentral. Lineage: Eukaryota; Foraminifera; Rotaliida; Globigerinidae.
GAGGAGGUUGCGGCAAUAACAGGUCUGUGAUGCCCUCAGAUGUCCCGGGCUGCACACGUGCUACAAUGAGUGGCGCAAUGUGCUAAUGUUUAAGGGAUAAGAGUGUGGUCAGUAGAACGUCGGGAUUUCCCCUGACGUCUCCCCCGCACGAUUAUCAGCCUUCCCUUAACAGGGCGGGCAACCUUUUCAAAAUACUGGUUUGAUGUUAAAGUAUUGAGUCGUUUUUUUUGGAUGGUGGUUUGUUAACCAAUACCAUCCGGCAACUGCUCGCGAGUUUGUGGUUCUGGCGACUCAUGGUGGGGACCGACGUUUGUAAUUUUUUGUCGCGUGUUAACUAGGAAUGCCUUGUACUGUCGAUUCACUAAGUUACUGGGAAUACGUCCCUGCCCUUUGUACACACCGCCCGUCGCUCUUAC